AGUGAACGCUGGCGGUAGGCCUAACACAUGCAAGUCGAACGGCAGCACAGUAAGAGCUUGCUCUUACGGGUGGCGAGUGGAGGACGGGUGAGGAAUACAUCGGAAUCUACUUUUUCGUGGGGGAUAACGUAGGGAAACUUACGCUAAUACCGCAUACGACCUACGGGUGAAAGCAGGGGAUCUUCGGACCUUGCGCGAUUGAAUGAGCCGAUGUCGGAUUAGCUAGUUGGCGGGGUAAAGGCCCACCAAGGCGACGAUCCGUAGCUGGUCUGAGAGGAUGAUCAGCCACACUGGAACUGAGACACGGUCCAGACUCCUACGGGAGGCAGCAGUGGGGAAUAUUGGACGAUGGGCGCAAGCCUGAUCCAGCCAUACCGCGUGGGUGAAGAAGGCCUUCGGGUUGUAAAGCCCUUUUGUUGGGAAAGAAAAGCAGCAGGUUAAUACCCCGCUGUGCUGACGGUACCCAAAGAAUAAGCACCGGCUAACUUCGUG
This 492-nucleotide ribosomal RNA is filed under the name uncultured bacterium. RNAcentral describes it as "partial 16S ribosomal RNA". It matches the Rfam family "Bacterial small subunit ribosomal RNA", at positions 29 to 507 of the family's 1533-position model. The record is from RNAcentral.